RNAcentral lists this long non-coding RNA (763 nucleotides) under Homo sapiens (human). Its description in RNAcentral is "HSALNT0302227". The record is from RNAcentral. Lineage: Eukaryota; Metazoa; Chordata; Mammalia; Primates; Hominidae.
UUCAUAAAGCCCUGUGAUGUAUGCCACCAGAGUACCCAAAAGGGCCCCAAACUAGACAUGGGGAGUUGGGGAAGGCUUUUGGGAGAAGGCGACAUUUCAGCAGAGACCUGAAAGGAGAAACUGGAGACAGUUUAAUAGACACAACCGCUUCAGAUGGGCAGUGAAAAAGACGAUGGAAAGGCCAGGACACCACGGAAGUUCUGAAGGGGUAGUGGGAACCGAUUGAUCUGGAGCCAGAAGGAAGAGUGUAUGUGAUCAUCGAUCUCUCAGGGUCGUCGGGUGAAGUGAAAAUACCUAACUCUGCAUUCUGUGAAAGGGAGAGAGUUGAAAUGAGGCACAGCUGAAGUUUCACCACUCCAUUAUUCUGCCAUCAAGCAUCCCUUCAGCUCCCAUCUCUCAAAUGCUGCAGCCCCAUCAAUGGAAAAAAAUACAUUCAUGGGAAUUGCACAAAGUUUACAACACAUGCAAAUUCCAAGGAGCUCAGAGAGAGGUGUGGGGGUGAGAUGGUGUGACUACACCCCCUUCUUCUAGGAUGCGCCGAAGGAUUCUUUUUCUUGCUCAUAUGCUGUUAGAAAGCCUGGGCGUUUACGUCUGCUGGAGCUGGAGCUAAUGUGAUUUCUAACUGUCUAAUAAAAUUCCACUGCUUGCAUGUCCUGUGCAGUUCACUAUAGUGGAAUCUGGCCAGUGUGUGUUUUGGCUAAACCAGCCAUCCUAACCCCAGAUGUAAGGGGGUCAGGCUAGAUGACAGUUAAGGUCAUUUCCG